Molecule: ribosomal RNA, 399 nt
Filed under: uncultured microorganism
Description: bacterial SSU rRNA
Rfam family: Archaeal small subunit ribosomal RNA
Source: RNAcentral
GCGCACCAGUCGAGAAACUUUACAGUGUGCGAAAGCACGAUAAGGGAACUCUGAGUGCCUCCUAAGGAGGCUGUUCAGGUGUCUAAAAGCACCUGAAGGAAGGGCUGGGUAAGACCGGUGCCAGCCGCCGCGGUAACACCGGCAGCCCAAGUGGUAGCCACGUUUAUUGGGUCUAAAGCGUCCGUAGCCGGCUGGGUAAGUUCCUUGGGAAAUUUGGCCGCUUAACAGUCAAGCUUUCAGGGAAUACUGCCCGGCUUGGGACCGGGAGAGGUCAGAGGUACUCCAGGGGUAGGGGUGAAAUCCAUUAAUCCUUGGGGGACCACCGGCAGCGAAGGCGUCUGACCAGACCGGGUCCGACGGUGAGGGACGAAGGCUAGGGGGCGCGAACCGGAUUAGAUA